RNAcentral lists this ribosomal RNA (1136 nucleotides) under actinomycete CXB655. RNAcentral's name for it is "bacterial SSU rRNA". It matches the Rfam family "Bacterial small subunit ribosomal RNA", at positions 46 to 1189 of the family's 1533-position model. The record is from RNAcentral. Lineage: Bacteria; Bacillati; Actinomycetota; Actinomycetes; Actinomycetales.
GUCUUACACAUGCAAGUCGAGCGGUAAGGCCCUUCGGGGUACACGAGCGGCGAACGGGUGAGUAACACGUGAGCAACCUGCCCCCGACACCGGGAUAAGCCGUGGAAACGCGGUCUAAUACCGGAUACGACACGCCCCCGCAUGGGGUGCGUGUGGAAAGGGUUUCUGGUCGGGGAUGGGCUCGCGGCCUAUCAGCUUGUUGGUGGGGUAACGGCCUACCAAGGCGAUUACGGGUAGCCGGCCUGAGAGGGCGACCGGCCACACUGGGACUGAGACACGGCCCAGACUCCUGCGGGAGGCAGCAGUGGGGAAUAUUGCGCAAUGGGCGGAAGCCUGACGCAGCGACGCCGCGUGGGGGAUGACGGCCUUCGGGUUGUAAACCUCUUUUACCACUCACGCAGGCCCCGGGUUCUCCCGGGGUUGACGGUAGGUGGGGAAUAAGGACCGGCUAACUACGUGCCAGCAGCCGCGGUAAUACGUAGGGUCCGAGCGUUGUCCGGAAUUAUUGGGCGUAAAGAGCUCGUAGGCGGCGUGUCGCGUCUGCUGUGAAAGACCGGGGCUUAACCCCGGUUCUGCAGUGGAUACGGGCAUGCUAGAGGUAGGUAGGGGAGACUGGAAUUCCUGGUGUAGCGGUGAAAUGCGCAGAUAUCAGGAGGAACACCGGUGGCGAAGGCGGGUCUCUGGGCCUUACCUGACGCUGAGGAGCGAAAGCGUGGGGAGCGAACAGGAUUAGAUACCCUGGUAGUCCACGCCGUAAACGUUGGGCGCUAGGUGUGGGGGCUUUCCACGGUUCCCGUGCCGCAGCUAACGCAUUAAGCGCCCCGCCUGGGGGAGUACGGCCGCAAGGCUAAAACUCAAAGGAAUUGACGGGGGCCCGCACAAGCGGCGGAGCAUGUUGCUUAUUUCGACGCAACGCGAAGAACCUUACCAAGGGUUUGACAUCACCGGUAAUCCAUCGGAGACGGUGGGUCCUUCGGGGAUCGGUGACAGGUGUGCAUGGCCUGUCGUCAGCUCGUGUCGUGAGAUGUUGGGUUAAGUCCCGCACGAGCGCAACCCUUGUCCAUGAUGCCAGCACGGGAUGGUGGGACUCCUGUAGACUGCUGGGUCCACUCGGAGAAGCGUGGGAUGACGUCUAG